Molecule: long non-coding RNA, 746 nt
Filed under: Fragaria vesca (wild strawberry)
Lineage: Eukaryota; Viridiplantae; Streptophyta; Magnoliopsida; Rosales; Rosaceae
Description: long non-coding RNA (FVES_LNC001426)
Source: RNAcentral
CGCUUCUUUUUGAAGUCUUUGCUUUUCCAUAUUAGGCAUACCUGGCUUAAUACUUACAAUCGAGCAGGGUAGCUAUCUAUCUGCGUGCUCUUAAGUUUGGACAUUUUGGAGUAAGCUAGGUUGGAGCUCCCUGGUGAAAUUAAUUAAAGAGUUUACAUUCCUCUUCAUAAAUAGAUAUUUAGGGCGCACACACACACAUAUAUAUAUAUAUACAGUCUUAUUCCAGAGAGGGAUCCCUCUUUAAAAGGAGACUAUAUAUAUAUAUAGACACACACACUCGCAUAAGAAGCUGAUUGUUUCACUCCUUCACCUCAACCAGGCGGAAACACUGAAGGCCUGAAGCCUAGCUCCUCCAUUUCACUGGAAACUGAUGCAUCACCAGCAUAUGGAUGUAAUUCAAUCAUAAAUUUCUUGUUUCUCACUUUGGAAAUUUCGUAGGUGCUAAUUUGUAGUAUAAAUUUCUUGAUUUUGUUUUACACGUAGACAUGAGACAAACAUUGAUAUAACAAAGUUGCUUACACGUAUAAUACACGUAAAAGUUACUAUUAUCAACAAGACACUCGUUGCUUGGAAAAUCUGUACACGCGGGUGAAAAUACCAAUUAUAGAUUUAUGACAAAUUAAGUUGUCCAAGUCUUCCCGUGACUUUGUUUCAUAAAGAUAGUUUGUUUGAUUAUUAGUUUAGGAAACAACGUAUACAAAAGAAAGAGAUAUGAACUUGUUUAGCUCACUUGAUAUCAAUUGAUG